This 82-nucleotide small nucleolar RNA is filed under the name Sphenodon punctatus (tuatara). RNAcentral's name for it is "Small nucleolar RNA SNORD111 (ENSSPUG00000006270.1)". It matches the Rfam family "Small nucleolar RNA SNORD111". Rfam says of the family: The members of this family belong to the C/D class of snoRNAs which contain the C (UGAUGA) and D (CUGA) box motifs. Most of the members of the box C/D family function in directing site-specific 2'-O-methylation of substrate RNAs. Lineage: Eukaryota; Metazoa; Chordata; Lepidosauria; Sphenodontia; Sphenodontidae. The record is from Rfam by way of RNAcentral.
CAGCCUGAAAUGAUGAUAUGAAUUCAUGUCUCUUCUCUGAUAUACACAAUGGAGACACUCAAUUGCACAUCUGAUCAGGUUC